UGGGGAAUUUUGGACAAUGGGGGCAACCCUGAUCCAGCCAUGCCGCGUGCGGGAAGAAGGCCUUCGGGUUGUAAACCGCUUUUGUCCGGGAAGGAAUGACCUCCCCUAAUACGGGGGGUUCCUGACGGUACCGGAAGAAUAAGCACCGGCUAACUACGUGCCAGCAGCCGCGGUAAUACGUAGGGUGCGAGCGUUAAUCGGAAUUACUGGGCGUAAAGCGUGCGCAGGCGGUUCGCUAAGUCUGAUGUGAAAGCCCCGGGCUCAACCUGGGAAUGGCAUUGGAAACUGGCGGGCUUGAGUGUGGCAGAGGGGGGUGGAAUUCCACGUGUAGCAGUGAAAUGCGUAGAGAUGUGGAGGAACACCGAUGGCGAAGGCAGCCCCCUGGGCUAACACUGACGCUCAGGCACGAAAGCGUGGGGAGCAAACAGGAUUAGAUACCCUGGUAGUCCACGCCCUAAACUAUGUCAACUGGGUGUUGGGGAAGCGAUUCCUCAGUACCGUAGCUAACGCGUGAAGUUGACCGCCUGGGGAGUACGGCCGCAAGGUUA
RNAcentral lists this ribosomal RNA (548 nucleotides) under uncultured bacterium. RNAcentral's name for it is "bacterial SSU rRNA". It matches the Rfam family "Bacterial small subunit ribosomal RNA", at positions 355 to 896 of the family's 1533-position model. The record is from RNAcentral.